Molecule: long non-coding RNA, 4871 nt
Organism: Marmota monax (woodchuck)
Lineage: Eukaryota; Metazoa; Chordata; Mammalia; Rodentia; Sciuridae
Exons: 2
Source: RefSeq, a predicted model, not a curated record
CUCAGAUACAUCCCCAAUAGAUUCUACCUUAACAAUCUGAAUAUCACUGUCCUCCAUAUCCAUACUGUCUUCAGAUGGAUGAAUACAAGGGCCUGUGUGCAUCGUUCUACAAUGUGGCUCAUCUGAAGAAAACUCGCAGCAGUCAAGUAAUUUACCAGUUCCAUCUCAGGGAAUUCCAGCACACCACUAUAACAGGAUAAGAGCAAUUGUCUCCCCACUUCAGAACUCUGUAAUAUUGAGAUUUUCACCUCUCUGGAAUCAUUCAGUAAAAACUGGUCUCUUAGGAAGGGGGAACCUGCAGCAAACACAAUUUUAUGCCCCUGUACCUCAAUAUCAUCUAUGAGAACUGUAACAUCACAAAAUUUAUUCUCUUCUCUUAAUUUGUUCAUUUUUUGUAACAUUGAAUCUCCAUAAUUUUCAAACUUGAAGUGAAGGAGAUCUGAUCUUUCAGACAUUUUGGCAGACCUAAAGAACAAAAAUGUAAAAAGGUUGAAUUUAAGGAAAUUUAAACAAUUAAGAAACCUGGAUUUACCUUCCAAAACCAAAUUUGUUGUCAUGCUUUGUAUGUAUGCAUAUGAAAUUUUCUUUGAAAGAGGAAGCUUUUGAUGGCUAUUAAAAAUUGCUCCUUACCAAUAUCAAGGGUCAAUUGCACCUAAAGAGUAGACAUAUAUAAGUGUAAAUAGCUGGGCAUUCACUCAAUUUUUUAGACACUUAAUAUAAGAAUAUAUAUUAUAUUGGAUAAUGCUAAGAAUAUUUAUUCACUUCUCAAAUGAGAAUUCAGUCAGGUUUCAAAAGCAAACUAAAACAUCCCAACCAAAGUAAAGAUGAAGUGAUUAGUUUCUUUUGUAUGAAACUGUGGACCUGGGUCUCCUAAAUCAAAAUACUCUUCCUUUGCUUUGUAUUUUAAAGAACCACAACAACAUUGUUUGCCACAUGCAUUCCUGGACAGUCCCUUUCCUGUCUAGAUCAGUGUGAAUUCAUUUUAUUUUCAUUUCUGUUUUGUUUUUCCACUGUGAAUACAUAUGAGUAAUUCUGUGAUAAAAUGAAAAAGUUACAGAUGUAGAGGGACAAUGUUUGGCAAGUAUUCAAACAUAUUUCUUUAUUCUGUUCAUUGUGGAUAAAUCUAAACUCUGUUUUAAGAACAUUUCUUGAGUUCGGCACCUUGGUACAUGCCUGUAAUUCCCCUUACUCAGGAGGCUAAGGCAGGAGGAUCACAAGUUCAAGGCAGUCUCAGCAACUUAGUGAGGCUUAAGCAAUUCAGUGAGAUCCUGCCUCAGAAUAAAAAAAGGUCAGGGAUGUGACCCUUGGGGGAUUCAAUCCCUGGUACCUUCCAAACAAACAAAAUCCUUGAUAUAUAAAGAAAAUACUUGAUACAGAAAAGUCACGUGGUAGGAACAUUAGUAGGAGUAAUAUAGAUCUAAUCAACCCCUUCUAGAUUCUGUUCUUAUCUCUUUUUCCCUAUUUACCUAUCAGUACUUUCACAUGGACUACUAAAUCCGAUUCAUAAGUAUUUCUAUUGGCUUCCAGUUUCUAUUCCCUCUUAUACAUCACAUGCCAUCUUUUAAACACAUGAUUAUAUCUGACCCUGCAUGAAAUCCUUCAGUGACUUCCUGUUGUUUCUUGAAAGAAGACUAACCUCUUGAAUAAGCUUGUUAACUAAACCUAAUAAUAAUUAAGGCAAACAUAGGCAUAACCUUUUCAACCACAGAGAAAGUAUCUUUGCCAAAACCCUUUGCACAGGGCUGGGGGAUGUAGCUCAGUGGUAGAGGACUUGCCUAGCAUGCCUGAGGCCCCGGCUCUCUGAUCCUCAGCACUGUUUUUUAAAAACAAAACAACAACAACAACAACAACAAAACACUAUGCAUAUUGGUCUGUUGACAUAGCAGUGCUUUUGGAUAGUCUCCAUGUUCAAUUUCCACACUCCAGAUUUUCUCAGAACUUGGCUUCCCACGUGUCUCUCUAAAGGGAAAAGAUGAAUUAACCAUACUAAUGGUCUAGUAGUCAUUGUAAAGAUAAUAAACUGACAGUCUCUUUUCAUAUCUUAAAGUUCUACAAUCUCAAUACAUCUGAAAAUUCACCUUGAAUUUUUUGUAUUCGUCAGUCUUUUAGUUCAGUUAAAUGAGACAGCUAGUUUUCCUGGCCUUAUCUAAACCUAAGGCCAAUCUCUGACAUUUUAAGUUCAAUAACACUGAUUUUCAGAGGCUCACAGAAUAUCAGUUCAUGAUAACAGAGUCCAAGUUUUGUUCCUAUUCCUCAGUACCUGGUAUGAAAGGUCAUUAUUCUAUUGACUCUACAUCUUAUCACAUAUGUUUCCUUAGUAUAGAACACUAACUUCUAGCCAGUUUUUAUUUCCUCUGAGAGGCCCUUCCCUGAUCCCUUAGAGUAAAAGAGUUGUCUCUAGGGUCCUUAGCAAAGUAUUUCUAUCAAAACCCUAAAAUACUUCAUUAAAUACUUCCUUCCCCUCCAAACUCUGGUUACAUGGCAUGAGGGAAACCUCCAUCCUAUUCAAUGGACUAAUGCUGGAGCCCAUAUCUUCUUGGGUGAAAUAGUCUUUUCUUUUGCUCUAAAUUCUACUUAUUGCUUGCCUCAUUACUGGCUAAACUCUCUUCUAUUCAAACUGGUGUGUACUCCCUUCACCUACUAUUAUAUAAACACACAGCAGGUGACAAUUUGUAUUGGCUGAACCUAUAGGGUUAAUCUGAAAGUAUUAAGAAGGAAGAAUUGUUAUGAAGACCAUCUUAUUGCCUGAAUAGACAUUACAAAUCUGAAGCCACGAGGGCUUACAAAGGAAUAAAAAAGGGAAUGAUGAGCAAGUAACAAAAGAUCACUUAGAGAACUUGAAAACUCACUGGAUAUAGAGAAUGAAAACCAUAAAUGUGUAGAUUAUAUACCAGGUAGGUCAGCUGAAUGUAUAUGAAAAAUGGGAACUGGUAUGGCACAGUUGAUUAAUAAAGUAUAUGCUUUCCCUCUGUAUAGCAUUCUGAAUAUAUGGAUAACAAAUGAUCACAAUAAGUAUUAAAAACUUCACUGAGAAAGAAGGGAUGUAGAGAAGCAAAUGUAUCUAAGGAAAGGCAGUAUCAAAUAUAGAGGAAACUAGAAGAUACAGGAAGUAUAUCAGUAAUCUAAAGCAGCAAACUCUUUAUCAUUGGUCAGUUUUAGCAAUUGCAGUAGCUUAAAAUGUCCACUGUCAAACUGGAAUGGUGAAUGUUGCAGUUGAUAACAACCAGAAAUUAUAAAAAAGUUAAGUGGCUAAACAAAAAUGGGAUUCUAAUUUUAAGAGUUCAGCUAGUCUUGACUGCUUUAUAGCUGAUCAUGAUACCCUCAAGUCAGUAUUUUUCUACUCAUUGUUUCCAACUACAGUGUGAUAGCACUCACAGUUUUAGAGGGAUAAUUGUUCCUUGAUACUCUAAACAUGAGGAAUGGUAAUACAAUUUCAUUUACUUUUUAUUCAUCAGUUCUCAAGAAACUUACCAUUAGUAGCCAAACAGAUAUCUUAGAAAAGUGCUUGCUUUAAUCAAUCUGCUAUAGUCCAAGAAUGUGAGGGAAAGUUACUCUUUUUAGGAAAUUUUUCCAAAUACCUGUCAUUUUGCUGCACUGUCUCCUUCAAACUCUUAUUUCCAGACCAUUUAGUGUAUCCUUUAAUUGUUUCCUGGCAUGAGUUCUCUUUUCAGUAGAUUGUUAGUUAUUUGAUGGAAAGGACCAACUGUUGGUUAUGCUUCACACAGUUUAUUAAACAAAGAUCAGCAGAAUAAUGCACUCGUAAUGUUCCCUAAGGAAUUAUUAUUGAGCGAUGAAAGGAAUGCUCUUUAGUAUCAUGAUACUCUGUUGAGUACUUGGGGUAAAACAUUUUUCAGGGGUUUGAUUCCCAAAAUAGUUUGGCCACAUAAAACCAAAAUUUAAACACUUUGUUUUGAUGUUUUAAAAAUAGGUAAUAAGGAAAAAAACAAAAAAACAAAAUAGGUAUUAAAGGGCUGGAGUGUAGCUCAUUGUUAAAGUGCUUGCUUAGUAUACGCCCAAGGUUCUAUUGAUCCCUAGGAUCACCUAUACAGAUAUGGCCACAAAAUAUGUAAUAUAAAAAUUAUUAAAUUUCUAAUAAACUAGCUUAAUUUUUUAUUUUUUAAAAAUAUUUAUUUUUUAGUUUUAGGUGGACACAAUAUCUUUAUUUAUUUAUUUUUAUGUGGUGCUGAGAAUCGAACCUAGUGCCUCACACAUGCUAGGCAAGCACCCUACCACUUGAGCCACAUCCCUAGCCCCUUAAUUUUUUAAAUAAGAGAAAUAAUAAUACCUAACCUUUUCUGCAUCCUUGUUAUAAGCCAAGUGUAAUUCUAAAUGUUUUACCUAAAUUGACUUGUUUAAUCCUGAAAAUCUCUAUAGCUAGGUAUCAUUAUUAUCCAAAACAACUUGCUGAAAUUAAGUAGGAAGUGUUAAGUGUUGGAGCUAAACCGUGUGCCCAAGCUGCAUUUAUGCCAAAUUCCAUAUAUGAAACUAAGCUAGAUGCAGUUUUGCCUAAAGGAUUAUAUUUUAACUGUAUAAUAGUUCAGAUUUCUCUCCUCAAGAGUAGGCCAAGAAAAUCUAUUGAGCUGUAUACUUAAGAUUUGUAUGCUUUUGUAUGUUUUAUUAAUGCUUUAGUACAAAGCUUAUGUUUAGAAACAAAAACUACCACUUAAAGCCAAAUUUGCAUCAAGUAUAAAAAAUUUUAAUGGUAUAAAUCAUUUCUGCAUUGGUUAUAUUCCUGAUUGCAUUUAAUGUCUUUUGCCUUGUUAUACCUUCCUUUCCCAUCUAACUUUAUUAUUAGUUUUCCAUCUUUUAUAUAUUUACAUUUGUUGAUUGAAACUUAAUACCAUUUGCAAAUAACACAAAACAAACAUGAA